RNAcentral lists this ribosomal RNA (549 nucleotides) under uncultured Bacillota bacterium. RNAcentral's name for it is "bacterial SSU rRNA". It matches the Rfam family "Bacterial small subunit ribosomal RNA", at positions 339 to 886 of the family's 1533-position model. Lineage: Bacteria; Bacillati; Bacillota. The record is from RNAcentral.
UUACGGGAGGCAGCAGUAGGGAAUUUUCGGCAAUGGGCGCAAGCCUGACCGAGCAACGCCGCGUGAGUGAUUAAGGCCUUCGGGUUGUAAAGCUCUGUUGUAAGGGAAGAACAUUCAGGAUAGGAAAUGAUCUUGAACUGACGGUACCUUACCAGAAAGCCACGGCUAACUACGUCCCAGCAGCCGCGGUAAUACGUAGGUGGCUAGCGUUAUCCGGAAUUAUUGGGCGUAAAGGGUGCGUAGGCGGUUUAUUAAGUCUAUGGUGAAAGUGCGGGGCUCAACCCCGUAUGGCCAUAGAAACUGGUAGACUUGAGUGCAGGAGAGGGCAAUGGAAUUCCAUGUGUAGCGGUAAAAUGCGUAGAUAUAUGGAGGAACACCAGUGGCGAAGGCGGUUGCCUGGCCUGUAACUGACGCUGAAGCACGAAAGCGUGGGGAGCAAAUAGGAUUAGAUACCCUAUGUAGUCCAGCGCCGUAAAGCGAUGAAUACUAAGUGUUGGAGAAAUUCAGUGCUGCAGUAAACGCAAUAAGUAUUCCGCCUGGGAGUNCACU